CUGACAUUAGCACCCCUCUUUCCCCCCCCCCGCACAGCAAGUAUGAGACUCCCAGGAGCAGCUUCAAGGCUGAGGGUAGGAGCAGCAUAUGGCAGUGGGGGGAGGGAGGGCUGAACUGACCGGCAAUUGGUAGCCUAUUGGGCGGCUGCUGCACAGGGAACUUAGGAGAGUGGGGAGCUGAUGGGGGGCUGCUGGUUCACCCUGGUGCCAAGCCCCCACCAGCUAGCUCCAGCGGCUGCUGUUUCUGCAAGCAGUGGACAAAGCAGGUGGCUGCCAAACAACGUUAUAAGGGAGCAUUGCACAACUUUAAAUGAGCAUGUUCUCUAAUUGAUCAGCGAUGUAACAACGAAACAUCAUUAACUGUGAUGAUGUUAAGUGAUGAGUUACAAUAUAUAUCAUGGACAAAACGAAAUAUCAAAUAA
This is a long non-coding RNA of Dermochelys coriacea (leatherback sea turtle), 422 nucleotides long. RefSeq lists it as uncharacterized. The transcript has 5 exons. The record is from RefSeq and is a predicted model, not a curated record. NCBI's taxonomy places the organism in Eukaryota, Metazoa, Chordata, Testudines, Dermochelyidae.